Heterocephalus glaber (naked mole-rat) is the source of this 2224-nucleotide non-coding RNA. The record is from RefSeq and is a predicted model, not a curated record. Lineage: Eukaryota; Metazoa; Chordata; Mammalia; Rodentia; Bathyergidae.
AUAUUUAUUGCUAAAGCAAAGCUUUUGAUUUUUUUAACAUGUUCGAUACUACACCAUUCAGGGAAGGCUAAAUAUUAUAACAAACACCUCCAAAUCUCAGUGGCUUAAGGUAUGUAUUUUUCUUAUGUUACAGUUCAAUGUAAGUCACCCAGUUGGGAUUGGAGAGUACUCAGAGACCUGCUCAGAACCAGGGAUUGUCCUUAGGUUGGCGUCCCACUUUCCAAGACCUUGGAGAUUUCUGCUGGAUCCUCUGAUUUCAGCAGAGGGGUAAAAAUGAAAAGAGCAAGGACAAUCACACAUGUACUUUUGGAGUCAGGCCUGGAAGUGGCUUACAUCACUUCUUCUGUCUGCUUUCCAAUUGGCUGGAACUCAGUCACAUGACACUCCUAACUGCAAGGGAAGCUGGGAAAAUGUAGUUUUCUACAUUUAUAUACAGGAGGAAAACAAGGACUUGGGGACUACAGAGCCAGCACUGUCUUUGCCUCAUAUUUUACCAAGUUCCAACCAGCAAAGUUUUUCCAGUUUAUAUUUCUAUAAGAAAGGUAUAAGAAUUCCUAGUUCCCUACACUGUCAGUAAUUAAGAGCAUGACAUUUUUGUGUGUCUAUUGUCCACAGCUUUGCAUAUGACAUUGCUGCUUUUCUACUGAUAGACUCAGAGUACCUCUUUCUGUCUUUGUAGAUGAUCUCUCUGGAAGCUAGGACUGCAGCCCUGAUUACUUUUAGGACAGCUGCCCCAUCACUGUCUCCCAGGCUGGCCUAAGUUUCUGGACCUUUCUCUGUUCUAUCUUCUGUCCUGUAUCCAGUGUCUGCAAAAGGGGACACCCUUGCUGGGCCUUUACCCCAAGCCCCAGGCCCCAGCAUCAUCCCUGAAUGAAGGGUCACUCAGAGACCGCAGGAGCAGGUUAGAAUUCUGCAUUUUCUGAGCCAUCUCAGGUGAGUCCAUGCUGACACUAUAUUUUCACAAGGAAAAAAAUUCAGGAACUAGAACCGGGAGACAAAGAUAACAGCCUGGUGCCAACUUGGUGCAUUGACUUUAACCAAAUCAUUGGGUGCUGAUCCUUAGUCCUCAGUCCCCACCAGAAUAAUCCUUCCCCAGGGAACAGUAAAGUCACUGUCUCACAUCUGAGCUAUGGUUUCCUCCUAGGCUUCUUCUCCACAUCGUCCACAGGACAGCUGGCUGCUGCCUGAUGAUUCACUAGGAGGCCUGGCCCCUUGACAGAGCAAAUUCCAGUGAGGACUGCAAAUGGCUUCCAGUGUCUGUUUGCCCAAGGCCUCCUGGGAACUGAGGGCCUGGCAUGAGCACAGCGGGGAACUGCAAACCAGGCCUCAGCUCGAACACGACUCCACCUUGCACCAUCCUUCCGGGAGCGGAAGGGACCUUUGGGGACCCUCGGAGAGUUCGCUGCUGCGCUGUAGCCCAGACUGACUGAGCCCAGAUCAUCUUAGAAUAUCAGAUGAGUGGGAGAGAAGGACAUCGAGGUGGUGAUGGGAGGUAGGGACGGGAAUCGGGAUGUCAGGGACAGAAGCCCUGCAGAAGGACGGCAAGAGAAGAGCUGGGAAGAGGGAGGAGACUUCAAGAGCUGUUUAAAAGGAAAACCAGGCUUGGCAACAGCUUGCAUUUUAUCCUGUCUGCUGUCUCUCACUCAUCACUUCCCUGAGGAAAGUUCAAAUUCAAAACAAAACAGCCGUUUUUGCAAAGCCAGCCGUUUUGCUCCACGGACCUGGGAAAGAUUUGAUGUAAAACCAGUUCUCAGGAAGCUGCACAUGAUUCACAGAUCUUAAUGCUGCCGGAGGCACAGAGUGCAAAGGAGAGAGCGGGGAAGAGAGGAAUGUAGCUGUCUCACCUUGGAAAGGGGGUAAACUGAGGCAAGGCUCAGCCGGAAAGUGAGUGAUAGGAAUCAACAGGAGGCACCACCGCUGCCAUUUCAUCUGGUUCAGUGUUCAUCCAGUGACUCUCCUCUCCGAGCCUUCUGCAGACACAGACAGGCAUUCAGAAACCAGCCUGCUGGAGACAUUACAGACUCGGGCAGCAGAGUGGGGUGAUGGGACACAGGAAGGUCGACAUUCAGAGAUGGGGAAGGGGACCUGAUGAAGGAGGGAGAGGGAGGAGGGAGGGGGGAACAGGAACUAAAAAAGAUCAAGGUAUGAGAUACAUAUGUACUGAUGCCCUAAAAAGAACGCAAUUAUUACAUAUCACAAACAUAUUCUAAUAAAAGAAAAGAAC